UUUUUUUUCCUCUCUCUUUUUCUCAGCUAUAGCAUUGAGAUCACAGAAAUAUUUGACCUGGGACACAGAGUUUACUGCAAUUGACUUAAAAUUAAAGACUUGUUGAUUUCUAGCUUGUAGUAACAGACAGUUUGCUGAACUGUUCUGUUCCUAGUGUGAAGAAAGAAAGAAACGAGGCAAGAAAGAAAAGGAGAAAGAAAGGAAGAAAACCCUACCAUGACAGAAAAUAACCAUGAUGUCAUUACUGAUGUCAUACAUGGAAGAAGUAAAGCUCCAAGAAGUUCAAGAGUCUCACCUGGUGACACAACAGGCUGUCAACAAGCUAGGUCUGACGCCAUGACCCUCCUCCCCGUGGACUUCCAGGGGGGCCAAGUGUCCUUCAGUUCACAAGAUCUGACUGGGUCUCAUGAAAUAAGAACCACACUUAGGCUCAGAGGUUGUGGAAAUUGGCAAUGGUGCUUUAAUUCAAGAAUUCCAGCUCAACUCCCACACUCCACACUGUGGGGCACUGAAGUUAAUGACCUCUUUGAAGUCUUUCGUAGCUGCAUACGCUUGCAGACUAGCAUGGAAGGCCAUGCUUUACACUAGACGUGUCAUUUCUAGCAGAUAGCUUCAGCCUUACCUCCAUUGCCAGCUUACCUGCUGAUCACCCUGAUGCCAAGAAAAGACUUGAA
Molecule: long non-coding RNA, 674 nt
Filed under: Mus musculus (house mouse)
Lineage: Eukaryota; Metazoa; Chordata; Mammalia; Rodentia; Muridae
Description: predicted gene, 52969
Source: RNAcentral